GGCAUGGUGGCCAAGUGGUAAGGUGUUGGUCUUGUAAACCAAAGAUCAUGGGUUCAAAUCCCUUCUGUCCCU
Non-coding RNA from Salmo salar (Atlantic salmon), 72 nucleotides. The record is from Rfam. Lineage: Eukaryota; Metazoa; Chordata; Actinopteri; Salmoniformes; Salmonidae.